CAGCACAAGGGAGUUUACUCCUGAGGUGGCGAGCGGCGGACGGGUGAGUAAUGCCUAGGGAUCUGCCCAGUCGAGGGGGAUAACAGUUGGAAACGACUGCUAAUACCGCAUACGCCCUACGGGGGAAAGGAGGGGACCUUCGGGCCUUCCGCGAUUGGAUGAACCUAGGUGGGAUUAGCUAGUUGGUGAGGUAAUGGCUCACCAAGGCGACGAUCCCUAGCUGUUCUGAGAGGAUGAUCAGCCACACUGGGACUGAGACACGGCCCAGACUCCUACGGGAGGCAGCAGUGGGGAAUAUUGCACAAUGGGGGAAACCCUGAUGCAGCCAUGCCGCGUGUGUGAAGAAGGCCUUCGGGUUGUAAAGCACUUUCAGUAGGGAGGAAAGGGUGAGUCUUAAUACGGCUCAUCUGUGACGUUACCUACAGAAGAAGGACCGGCUAACUCCGUGCCAGCAGCCGCGGUAAUACGGAGGGUCCGAGCGUUAAUCGGAAUUACUGGGCGUAAAGCGUGCGCAGGCGGUUUGUUAAGCGAGAUGUGAAAGCCCUGGGCUCAACCUAGGAAUAGCAUUUC
RNAcentral lists this ribosomal RNA (570 nucleotides) under bacterium RBM-A5. RNAcentral describes it as "bacterial SSU rRNA". It matches the Rfam family "Bacterial small subunit ribosomal RNA", at positions 67 to 629 of the family's 1533-position model. The record is from RNAcentral.